Molecule: long non-coding RNA, 613 nt
Organism: Stegostoma tigrinum
Lineage: Eukaryota; Metazoa; Chordata; Chondrichthyes; Orectolobiformes; Stegostomatidae
Exons: 3
Source: RefSeq, a predicted model, not a curated record
GCAAAACACUGAUUAGACAUUUCACAAGAGGGAACAAAGGCUUCACUUUGUCAAUAAGACUUUUAUUCGCAAGCAGUGAGAAGAUGGAACACAGUCUGACAGCACUUUAAGUCUGAAAAUCUGAUUUAAAAAUCUCCCCACAAUGAAUAAGGAGGGAAUGAAGUGCAGCAAAGGAAAGAUCCUCCGGUUUCUGUCACUUGUAAUAGUCCUCCUCCUGCUUAUCUAUCUAACAAGCUUUAACCUUUCCCAAUCUCAGCAGGUAAAUGCUCAGAAAUCAGAGACUAAAAUCUGGGAAAAUAAGCAUCACGAAAACAAGGUAGACAUGUAAGAUCCCAGGGCACUUUCCAAAACGCAGAGGAAUUCUUCCAGUAUAUUGGCAUUUCAAUCAACAUUAUUACAUUCAGUGAUUGGUCUUGCAGUCAUUUAUGAGAAGUUGCUGUGCUGUAAUCCCCUACAUUGCAAAACUGACUUUGAAAUACUUGAAAAUGUCCUAGCAAAAUGAAAGAAGGUAUUAUUAAAAACUAGUAUUUGAUAUUUCAUUCAGAUUACAAAAUGUAGAAUUAAGUGACCUGCGUACGCAGGGCAUUGCAUGCUUUGCAGGUGUGACUACAUC